RNAcentral lists this unclassified non-coding RNA (362 nucleotides) under Hevea brasiliensis (rubber tree). The record is from RNAcentral. Lineage: Eukaryota; Viridiplantae; Streptophyta; Magnoliopsida; Malpighiales; Euphorbiaceae.
UAAGGAAGCAUCUUGUCAUUUUCUAUCAAAAAAAAAAUUAUCUCCCCCUCGCUUGACCCAAUUCUGAGCUCUAACUGAUAUUCCCUGGAGCUUUUAACACAUGCCUUCACCUACAUCCACAAAGUAAUCACUACCCAAUUCCCAACCCUAUGGUGCUGAUGCAAGAGUUAGUGACAACCUGAAGACUGAUAACUUUGUUAUCCAAAAAUGGCAGAUGACCUGACACAGAUGCAACCAUGGACCCCGACUCAAUACACCCAAAUGUAUGCAGGGACUUGUAAAAGGAAAGAGCAUGCCAAAUCACAUAAACCUCAAAUAGAAAUUGCACGACUUAUGGCCAACUUGGCCCAUUCAGCAGAUUC